GCGAACGGGUGAGUAACACGUGAGUAACCUGCCCUUGACUCUGGGAUAAGCCUGGGAAACUGGGUCUAAUACCGGAUACGACCAUCUGGCGCAUGUCAUGGUGGUGGAAAGCUUUUGUGGUUUUGGAUGGACUCGCGGCCUAUCAGCUUGUUGGUGGGGUAAUGGCCUACCAAGGCGACGACGGGUAGCCGGCCUGAGAGGGUGACCGGCCACACUGGGACUGAGACACGGCCCAGACUCCUACGGGAGGCAGCAGUGGGGAAUAUUGCACAAUGGGCGCAAGCCUGAUGCAGCGACGCCGCGUGAGGGAUGACGGCCUUCGGGUUGUAAACCUCUUUCAGUAGGGAAGAAGCGAAAGUGACGGUACCUGCAGAAGAAGCGCCGGCUAACUACGUGCCAGCAGCCGCGGUAAUACGUAGGGCGCAAGCGUUAUCCGGAAUUAUUGGGCGUAAAGAGCUCGUAGGCGGUUUGUCGCGUCUGCUGUGAAAGACCGGGGCUCAACUCCGGUUCUGCAGUGGGUACGGGCAGACUAGAGUGCAGUAGGGGAGACUGGAAUUCCUGGUGUAGCGGUGAAAUGCGCAGAUAUCAGGAGGAACCCCGAUGGCGAAGGCAGGUCUCUGGGCUGUAACUGACGCUGAGGAGCGAAAGCAUGGGGAGCGAACAGGAUUAGAUACCCUGGUAGUCCAUGCCGUAAACGUUGGGCACUAGGUGUGGGGGACAUUCCACGUUUUCCGCGCCGUAGCUAACGCAUUAAGUGCCCCGCCUGGGGAGUACGGCCGCAAGGCUAAAACUCAAAGGAAUUGACGGGGGCCCGCACAAGCGGCGGAGCAUGCGGAUUAAUUCGAUGCAACGCGAAGAACCUUACCAAGGCUUGACAUGAACCGGAAAGACCUGGAAACAGGUGCCCCGCUUGCGGUCGGUUUACAGGUGGUGCAUGGUUGUCGUCAGCUCGUGUCGUGAGAUGUUGGGUUAAGUCCCGCAACGAGCGCAACCCUCGUUCUAUGUUGCCAGCGCGUUAUGGCGGGGACUCAUAGGAGACUGCCGGGGUCAACUCGGAGGAAGGUGGGGACGACGUCAAAUCAUCAUGCCCCUUAUGUCUUGGGCUUCACGCAUGCUACAAUGGCCGGUACAAAGGGUUGCGAUACUGUGAGGUGGAGCUAAUCCCAAAAAGCCGGUCUCAGUUCGGAUUGGGGUCUGCAACUCGACCCCAUGAAGUCGGAGUCGCUAGUAAUCGCAGAUCAGCAACGCUGCGGUGAAUACGUUCCCGGGCCUUGUACACACCGCCCGUCAAGUCACGAAAGUUGGUA
RNAcentral lists this ribosomal RNA (1307 nucleotides) under Paenarthrobacter sp. Its description in RNAcentral is "bacterial SSU rRNA". It matches the Rfam family "Bacterial small subunit ribosomal RNA", at positions 98 to 1416 of the family's 1533-position model. Lineage: Bacteria; Bacillati; Actinomycetota; Actinomycetes; Micrococcales; Micrococcaceae. The record is from RNAcentral.